RNAcentral lists this long non-coding RNA (445 nucleotides) under Capsicum annuum. Its description in RNAcentral is "long non-coding RNA (CANN_LNC020505)". Lineage: Eukaryota; Viridiplantae; Streptophyta; Magnoliopsida; Solanales; Solanaceae. The record is from RNAcentral.
CAGGUACUUGAUUUUCCUCGAUAUCUGCAUUUUCCGACUUGUUCUGUUUGCCAUCUUCAGCACUCUGAACUUCCUCAGGCUCUGGCUUCUCCCCAGAGGGCAGUUCAGCCCCUUCCAUGCGCUCAUCUUCUGCAGCAGCUUCCACAUCUUUCUUCCUCUUGUCCUCCAUUUCAGCUUCUGCAUUUUCUGACUUGUCCUGAUUGCCAUCAUCAGCACUGUGAAAUUCUUCAGAUUCAGACUAAAAAAAGGAGGUAGUUUCGCGCCCUCUACGCGCUCAUCUUCUUUGGCUGCUUCCACCUCUUUCUUCCCCUUGUCCUCCAUUUCAGCUCCUGCUUCUCCAUCUUUCUUGUCCAAAUUUUCACUUUCUUCUUUGGCAGAUUCCAACCCUUCAGUUUGUGAACCUUCUUUUUCAACUUUAGCAGCAUCCUUUUCCUUGCUAUCUUUC